AGAAGUUAAACUCAACACAAAUGCAAAUGAGAGCAGAAGAUUGCAGCUGAAGAGGCAGCCAUAUCUUGGCAUUCUUAUUGUCCGGGGACGAAGUUAGUAGCAUAUGCCCAUGCGUUGUUGGCGACAGGGUCAGCAAGAUGGUCGUAAAGGUUCUGAACAGGUCCCUUGCCGGUAACAAUGGCUUGAACAAAGAAACCAAACAUGGAGAACAUAGCCAAUCGGCCGUUCUUGAGUUCCUUCACCUUCAACUCUGCAAAUGCAUCAGGGUCAUCAGCAAGACCAAGAGGGUCAAAGGCACCACCAGGGUAAAGUGGGUCUAAUCCUUCACCAAGUGGUCCUCCACCAAUUCUGUAACCUUCAACGAAUCCCAUGAGCACAACCUGAGUAGCCCAGAUUGCAAGAAUGCUUUGAGCAUGGAUCAAGUUUGGGUUGCCCAAAUAGUCAAGGCCACCCUCAGAGAAGAUCUGGGCACCAGCCUUAAACCAGACUGCCUCGCCGAAUUUAACACCAUUCUUUUCAAGGAUUUCAGGGAAGGUACAUCCCAAUGCUCCAAGCAUAGCCCAUCUGCUGUGAAUUACUUCAAGCUCACGGUUCUUUGCAAAAGUUUCAGGGUCAGCUGAUAAGCCAGCUGUGUCCCAUCCGUAGUCACCAGGGAAUUCACCAGUCAG
RNAcentral lists this long non-coding RNA (668 nucleotides) under Trifolium pratense (red clover). RNAcentral's name for it is "long non-coding RNA (TPRA_LNC001846)". Lineage: Eukaryota; Viridiplantae; Streptophyta; Magnoliopsida; Fabales; Fabaceae. The record is from RNAcentral.